CCAUCCAAUACAUGAAUCGAAUUAGCCUAACAUAUUAUUGGAAUCAAACAAAUAAAAGUGGAAAGACAUCACUAAAAUUUGAUGAAACGUAAUUAAUUCCAAAAUUAUUCUCGAAUUUUGCUUCAAUUCCAGCUGGAAUAUGUAAAAUACCUCAAUUCAAUUGCUCAUUUGUCCCCUUCGUCUGCCGGCCAAUUAUGGCUGUUGUGUAUAUAUGUAAAAAUAAGCCAAAGCCAUGCAGUUGUAUGUGUAAUUUCAACCAAUUGGCAGCCCUAUUUUUCUCGUCUCCCAGCAAUCUUUUCCUCUAGUUUUUUUUCUGUCGUCUUCCUCAGUUGGCAAUUAAUAAUCUCCAAAAAGAUAUCCCAAUUCAACCCAAUAUUACUUCCCAACAUAUUAUUGGAAUCAAACAAAUAAAAGUGGAAAGACAUCACCGAAAUUUGACGAAACGUAAUUAAUUCCAAAAUUAUUCUCGAAUUCUGC
Molecule: long non-coding RNA, 477 nt
Filed under: Olea europaea subsp. europaea
Lineage: Eukaryota; Viridiplantae; Streptophyta; Magnoliopsida; Lamiales; Oleaceae
Source: RNAcentral